This 694-nucleotide ribosomal RNA is filed under the name uncultured bacterium. RNAcentral's name for it is "bacterial SSU rRNA". It matches the Rfam family "Bacterial small subunit ribosomal RNA", at positions 91 to 783 of the family's 1533-position model. The record is from RNAcentral.
UCGAGUGGCGAACGGGUGAGUAAUACAUCGGAACGUACCUUAUCGUGGGGGAUAACGCAGCGAAAGCAUGUGCUAAUACCGCAUACGCCCUUAGGGGGAAAGCGGGGGAUCGCAAGACCUCGCGCGAUUAGAGCGGCCGAUGCCUGAUUAGCUUGUUGGUGGGGUAAAAGCCCACCAAGGCGACGAUCAGUAGCUGGUCUGAGAGGACGAUCAGCCACACUGGGACUGAGACACGGCCCAGACUCCUACGGGAGGCAGCAGUGGGGAAUUUUGGACAAUGGGGGAAACCCUGAUCCAGCAAUGCCGCGUGAGUGAAGAAGGCCUUCGGGUUGUAAAGCUCUUUUGUCAGGGAAGAAACACCGGCUCUAACACAGUCCGGGAAUGACGGUACCUGAAGAAUAAGCACCGGCUAACUACGUGCCAGCAGCCGCGGUAAUACGUAGGGUGCAAGCGUUAAUCGGAAUUACUGGGCGUAAAGCGUGCGCAGGCGGUUAUACAAGACAGGCGUGAAAUCCCCGGGCUCAACCUGGGAAUUGCAUCUGUGACUGUAUAGCUAGAGUACGGUAGAGGGGGAUGGAAUUCCGCGUGUAGCAGUGAAAUGCGUAGAUAUGCGGAGGAACACCGAUGGCGAAGCAAUCCCUGGACCUGUACUGACGCUCAUGCACGAAAGCGUGGGGAGCAAACAGGAUUAGAU